AUUGAACGCUGGCGGCAGGCUUAACACAUGCAAGUCGAACGGCAGCAGAGUUCGGGCUGCCUCAGAGUGGCGGCGGGGGGUGGAAUGCAUCGGAACAUACCCGGAGGUAGGGGUUAGUGCAGGGAAAGGUAGGGAAACUCAGGCUGUGACCGCAUGAGGACUACGGGGGAAUGAACAGGAAUUUCGGACCUCGCGCCUUUGGAGGGGCCGAUGUCGGAUUAGCUAGUUGGUGGGGUAAAGGCCGACCAAGGCGACGAUCCGUAGCUGGUCUGAGAGGAUGGUCAGCCACACUGGGACUGAGACACGGCCCAGACUCCUACGGGAGGCAGCAGUGGGGAAUAUUGGACAAUGGGCGCAAGCCUGAUCCAGCCAUGCCGCGUGGGGGAAGAGGGCCUUCGGGUUGUAAACCCCUUUUGUCGGGAAGGAAAAGUAGCAGGCUAAUACCGCGCUGCUAUGACGGUACCUAAAGAAUAAGCACCGGCUAACUUCGUG
Molecule: ribosomal RNA, 492 nt
Filed under: uncultured bacterium
Lineage: Bacteria
Description: partial 16S ribosomal RNA
Rfam family: Bacterial small subunit ribosomal RNA
Source: RNAcentral